Long non-coding RNA from Vicia villosa (hairy vetch), 1305 nucleotides. RefSeq lists it as uncharacterized. NCBI's taxonomy places the organism in Eukaryota, Viridiplantae, Streptophyta, Magnoliopsida, Fabales, Fabaceae. The transcript is spliced from 4 exons. The record is from RefSeq and is a predicted model, not a curated record.
UUCGGCUUCGGUUAUGAGGAAUGCUCGAUCCUUUUUCCGAUUGAGCUGUUGUUUCUUCGUCGUCUUCUCGAUCAGGUUUGAGCAUUAUUUUUUAGAAUGGACCGGCGACGUAGUUUGUUUCUUUGGGCAUUUGUUCUAUUGGGUUUUUGUUGUGUUAUGGUGCAGUCUUGGAUAUUUGCUCUAUUAUUGUGGUGCAGUCUUUGACGUCUAGGCAUCGUGGAAGUAUUAGUGCGGAAGAUGGCGUGGGACUAAUGUUAUGGUGUGAUUUCUAUACCUGAAUUUUCUCACUGGCUGCGUUUGAACAGAACAGUGCCGACAUUGGUUGUGGGCUGAUUUUUGAAGUGCCUUCUAUUUUGUAUUGCUUAUAUUUUGAAUCUUUUAUUUCAGGUUGCAUGUGUACCAUGUGUUUCCGUUGUUGGUGGAGUCAUGUCUAUGCUCAUGAGUGAUGUCACUGGUGUUUUGACAAGGUUGUUGCGGUCUGAGAUGGUUUCAUCGACGUUGAGGUUGAUGAGAGUGUUCCCCGUGGUGGUGGACAUGAAGUUUUUGCGAUAAUGAGGUUGUAAAAAAGGUCCACGACCGUGAAAACCUCCGCGACAACGACGGCAGUGGUUAAUAUUCGGUCUCAUCUUUGAUUAUAUCAUUUCUGUAGAUGACAUCGGGAACCUGUUUCUAAACCUGUAUCUCAAUCCCCACGACAAAUUUUGCUUCCUUCAUCAUUGUAUACAACGAGUCUCCCUAGCGAUGAAGGAUUAUAACAUGAGUUACACACUGACACAGUCUUCAUUCCAGUGUGGCAUACUGUUCCAGACUGUACUUCAAGAGCUUCUAUCGGCAUAGCAGUCAGUGAUACACCUAUCGGUCCAUUCGAAUAUCUCGGUAGCCAAAGACCGCAUGGAUAUCAAAGCAGGGACAUGACAGUUUUUAACGACGAAGACGGUGUCGCAUAUCUGAUAUACUCAUCUGAAGGAAACAAUGUAAUGCACAUUGGACCCUUGACUGCAGAUUAUCUCAAUGUGACAUCUGGUAUGAGAAGGGUUUUCGUCAGACAGCGAAGAGAAAAUAAAUGUGAUAUCUAUUAACAUAUAUGAAAAAUUUAGUCUACUAUCAAGAACUUACAUAAUAACUAAUCCUCAUUGUGUUUAUUCUUAACCACUUGACAGGGCCUAAUUGAAUUGCACAAUUAUCUCACAAGCGUUUAUGAAGAAGGUGAUGCAAGAUCAACCUUAAUCACUAUUACUGUUUCAAUUCAUAGUGAUUUCAUCUCAGGCAUGGACAUAACCGAUUUAUUGUUUUUCGAUUGUAGGU